UUGUUGGUGAGGUAAAGGCUUACCAAGGCUUCGAUCAGUAGCUGGUCUGAGAGGACGACCAGCCACACUGGGACUGAGACACGGCCCAGACUCCUACGGGAGGCAGCAGUGGGGAAUUUUGGACAAUGGGGGAAACCCUGAUCCAGCCAUGCCGCGUGAGUGAAGAAGGCCUUCGGGUUGUAAAGCUCUUUCAGCCGGAACGAAACGGUUACGAUUAAUACCUGUAACUACUGACGGUACCGGAAGAAGAAGCACCGGCUAACUACGUGCCAGCAGCCGCGGUAAUACGUAGGGUGCGGGCGUUAAUCGGAAUUACUGGGCGUAAAGCGUGCGCAGGUGGUUUUGUAAGUCAGAUGUGAAAUCCCCGGGCUUAACCUGGGAACUGCGUUUGAAACUACAAGGCUAGAGUGUGGCAGAGGGGGGUGGAAUUCCGCGUGUAGCAGUGAAAUGCGUAGAGAUGUGGAGGAACACCGAUGGCGAAGGCAGCCCCCUGGGUCAACACUGACGCUCAGGCACGAAAGCAUGGGGAGCAAACAGGAUUAGAUACCCUGGUAGUCCAUGCRCUAAACGAUGUCAACUAGUUGUCGGGUCUUAACGGGCUUGGUAACGUAGCUAACGCGUGAAGUUGACCGCCUGGGGAGCACGAUCGCAAGAUUAAAACUCAAAGGAAUUGACGGGGACCCGCACAAGCGGUGGAUUAUGUGGAUUAAUUCGAUGCAACGCGAAAAACCUUACCUACCCUUGACAUGUAUUGGAGCCCGCAGAGAUGUGGGUGUGCCCGAAAGGGAACGAUAACACAGGUGCUGCAUGGCUGUCGUCAGCUCGUGUCAUGAGAUGUUGGGUUAAGUCCCGCAACGAGCGCAACCCUUGUCAUUAAUUGCCAUCAUUUAGUUGGGCACUUUAAUGAGACCGCCGG
RNAcentral lists this ribosomal RNA (916 nucleotides) under uncultured bacterium. RNAcentral describes it as "bacterial SSU rRNA". It matches the Rfam family "Bacterial small subunit ribosomal RNA", at positions 246 to 1155 of the family's 1533-position model. The record is from RNAcentral.